AGGACGAACGCUGGCGGCGUGCUUAACACAUGCAAGUCGAGCGGUAAGGCCUUUCGGGGUACACGAGCGGCGAACGGGUGAGUAACACGUGGGUGAUCUGCCCUGCACUCUGGGAUAAGCCUGGGAAACUGGGUCUAAUACCGGAUAUGACCUGCUCUCGCAUGGGGGGUGGGUGGAAAGAUUUAUCGGUGCAGGAUGGGCCCGCGGCCUAUCAGCUUGUUGGUGGGGUAAUGGCCUACCAAGGCGACGACGGGUAGCCGACCUGAGAGGGUGACCGGCCACACUGGGACUGAGACGCGGCCCAGACUCCUACGGGAGGCAGCAGUGGGAAUAUUGCACAAUGGGCGAAAGCCUGAUGCAGCGACGCCGCGUGAGGAUGAAGGCGUUCGGUUGUAACCUCUUCAGCGAGGACGAAGCGCAGUGACGGUACCGUGCGAAGAAGAAGACGACCGGCUAACGUACGUAGACCGAGCGAGCCGAC
RNAcentral lists this ribosomal RNA (481 nucleotides) under uncultured soil bacterium. Its description in RNAcentral is "bacterial SSU rRNA". It matches the Rfam family "Bacterial small subunit ribosomal RNA", at positions 34 to 540 of the family's 1533-position model. The record is from RNAcentral.